ACGGAAGGCAGCAGUGAGGAAUAUUGGUCAAUGGGCGGAAGCCUGAACCAGCCAAGUCGCGUGAAGGAAGAAGGUAUUAUGUAUUGUAAACUUCUUUAGCAGCAGAGGAAUAAGGUGGACGUGUCCACUGAUGCUAGUAUGCUGAGAAUAAGCAUCGGCUAACUCCGUGCCAGCAGCCGCGGUAAUACGGAGGAUGCGAGCGUUAUCCGGAUUUAUUGGGUUUAAAGGGUGCGCAGGCGGUCUUUUAAGUCAGUGGUAAAAUCGUGGUGCUCAACGCCAUCCCGCCAUUGAUACUGGGAGACUUGAUUGCGGUUGAGGUAGGCGGAAUUCGUCGUGUAGCGGUGAAAUGCAUAGAUAUGACGAAGAAAACCGAUUGCGUAGGCAGCUUACCAAGCCGUAAAUGACGCUCAUGCACGAAAGUGCGGGGAUCGAACAGGAUUAGAUACCCUGGUA
RNAcentral lists this ribosomal RNA (453 nucleotides) under uncultured Porphyromonadaceae bacterium. RNAcentral describes it as "partial 16S ribosomal RNA". It matches the Rfam family "Bacterial small subunit ribosomal RNA", at positions 341 to 792 of the family's 1533-position model. Lineage: Bacteria; Pseudomonadati; Bacteroidota; Bacteroidia; Bacteroidales; Porphyromonadaceae. The record is from RNAcentral.